Non-coding RNA from Salmo salar (Atlantic salmon), 54 nucleotides. The record is from Rfam. NCBI's taxonomy places the organism in Eukaryota, Metazoa, Chordata, Actinopteri, Salmoniformes, Salmonidae.
UGCUUUCACUACUGUAAAUCGCUCUGGAUAAGAGUGUCUGCUAAAUGACUAAAA